This 502-nucleotide ribosomal RNA is filed under the name uncultured bacterium. RNAcentral describes it as "bacterial SSU rRNA". It matches the Rfam family "Bacterial small subunit ribosomal RNA", at positions 9 to 507 of the family's 1533-position model. The record is from RNAcentral.
CGAGUUUGAUCAUGGCUCAGAUUGAACGCUGGCGGCAUGCCUUACACAUGCAAGUCGAACGGCAGCGGACCUUCGGGUGCCGGCGAGUGGCGAACGGGUGAGUAAUAUAUCGGAACGUACCUUUCAGUGGGGGAUAACGUAGCGAAAGUUACGCUAAUACCGCAUAUUCUGUGAGCAGGAAAGCAGGGGAUCGCAAGACCUUGCGCUGAUUGAGCGGCCGAUAUCAGAUUAGCUAGUUGGUGAGGUAAAGGCUCACCAAGGCGACGAUCUGUAGCGGGUCUGAGAGGAUGAUCCGCCACACUGGAACUGAGACACGGUCCGGACUCCUACGGGAGGCAGCAGUGGGGAAUUUUGGACAAUGGGGGCAACCCUGAUCCAGCCAUUCCGCGUGAGUGAAGAAGGCCUUCGGGUUGUAAAGCUCUUUCGGCAGGAACGAAACGGUGAGGGCUAAUACCCUUUACUAAUAACGGUACCUGAAGAAGAAGCACCGGCUAACUACGUG